GACGAACGCUGGCGGCGUGCCUAAUACAUGCAAGUAGAACGCACAGUUUAUACCGUAGCUUGCUACACCAUAGACGGUGAGUUGCGAACGGGGGAGUAACGCGUAGGUAACCUGCCUGGUAGCGGGGGAUAACUAUUGGAAACGAUAGCUAAUACCGCAUAAUAUUGAUUAUUGCAUGAUAAUUGAUUGAAAGAUGCUAUUGCAUCACUACCAGAUGGACCUGCGUUGUAUUAGCUAGUAGGUGAGGUAACGGCGCACCUAGGCGACGAUACAUAGCCGAACUGAGAGGGUGAGUGGCCACACUGGGACUGAGACACGGCCCAGAGUCCUACGGGAGGCGGCAGUAGGGAAACUUCGGCAAUGGGCGAAAGUCUGACCGAGCAACGCCGCGUGAGUGAAGAAGGUUUUCGGGUCGUAAAGCUCUGUUGUAAGGGAAGAACGGGUGUGCGAGUGGAAAGUUCAGACUGUGACGGUAUCUUACAAGAAAGGGACGGCUAACUACGUG
RNAcentral lists this ribosomal RNA (505 nucleotides) under uncultured bacterium. RNAcentral describes it as "partial 16S ribosomal RNA". It matches the Rfam family "Bacterial small subunit ribosomal RNA", at positions 28 to 507 of the family's 1533-position model. The record is from RNAcentral.